RNAcentral lists this ribosomal RNA (497 nucleotides) under uncultured bacterium. RNAcentral describes it as "partial 16S ribosomal RNA". It matches the Rfam family "Bacterial small subunit ribosomal RNA", at positions 28 to 507 of the family's 1533-position model. The record is from RNAcentral.
GAUGAACGCUGGCGGCGUGCCUAAUACAUGCAAGUCGAGCGAACAGACGAGGAGCUUGCUCCUCUGACGUUAGCGGCGGACGGGUGAGUAACACGUGGAUAACCUACCUAUAAGACUGGGAUAACUUCGGGAAACCGGAGCUAAUACCGGAUAAUAUAUUGAACCGCAUGGUUCAAUAGUGAAAGACGGUUUUGCUGUCACUUAUAGAUGGAUCCGCGCCGCAUUAGCUAGUUGGUAAGGUAACGGCUUACCAAGGCAACGAUGCGUAGCCGACCUGAGAGGGUGAUCGGCCACACUGGAACUGAGACACGGUCAAGACUCCUACGGGAGGCAGCAGUAGGGAAUCUUCCGCAAUGGGCGAAGGCCUGACGGAGCAACGCCGCGUGAGUGAUGAAGGUCUUCGGAUCGUAAAACUCUGUUAUUAGGGAAGAACAAAUGUGUAAGUAACUAUGCACGUCUUGACGGUACCUAAUCAGAAAGCCACGGCUAACUACGUG